This 62-nucleotide transfer RNA is filed under the name Ricinus sp. ADS-2020. RNAcentral's name for it is "tRNA-Leu". The record is from RNAcentral. Lineage: Eukaryota; Metazoa; Arthropoda; Insecta; Psocodea; Ricinidae.
AUUAGGUUGGCAGAAUAGUGCAAUGUUUUUAGAAAACAGAAAAGAGGAAAUCUCACCUAAUA